GCAGGUGUGGUGUAAAGGCUGGCAUUUAAGGCUCAUAACCUUAAGAUAGGGUUCGAGUCCCUGCCUGCCA
RNAcentral lists this transfer RNA (70 nucleotides) under Crassvirales sp. RNAcentral's name for it is "tRNA-Met". It matches the Rfam family "tRNA". From Rfam's summary of the family: Transfer RNA (tRNA) molecules are approximately 80 nucleotides in length. Their secondary structure includes four short double-helical elements and three loops (D, anti-codon, and T loops). Lineage: Duplodnaviria; Heunggongvirae; Uroviricota; Caudoviricetes; Crassvirales. The record is from RNAcentral.